Molecule: transfer RNA, 72 nt
Organism: Selaginella moellendorffii
Lineage: Eukaryota; Viridiplantae; Streptophyta; Lycopodiopsida; Selaginellales; Selaginellaceae
Rfam family: tRNA
About the family: Transfer RNA (tRNA) molecules are approximately 80 nucleotides in length. Their secondary structure includes four short double-helical elements and three loops (D, anti-codon, and T loops).
Source: Rfam
GGUCCUAUGGUCUAGUGGUAAGGACACUGGACUCUGAAUCCAGUAGCCCGAGUUCAAGUCUCGGUAGGACCU